This 836-nucleotide ribosomal RNA is filed under the name uncultured bacterium. RNAcentral's name for it is "bacterial SSU rRNA". It matches the Rfam family "Bacterial small subunit ribosomal RNA", at positions 56 to 887 of the family's 1533-position model. The record is from RNAcentral.
UGCAGUCGAGGGGCAGCAUAAUGGAUAGCAAUAUCUAUGGUGGCGACCGGCGCACGGGUGCGUAACGCGUAUGCAACCUACCUUUAACAGGGGGAUAACACUGAGAAAUUGGUACUAAUACCCCAUAAUAUCAUAGAAGGCAUCUUUUAUGGUUGAAAAUUCCGAUGGUUAGAGAUGGGCAUGCGUUGUAUUAGCUAGUUGGUGGGGUAACGGCUCACCAAGGCGACGAUACAUAGGGGGACUGAGAGGUUAACCCCCCACACUGGUACUGAGACACGGACCAGACUCCUACGGGAGGCAGCAGUGAGGAAUAUUGGUCAAUGGACGCAAGUCUGAACCAGCCAUGCCGCGUGCAGGAUGACGGCUCUAUGAGUUGUAAACUGCUUUUGUACGAUGGCAAACGCAGAUACGUGUGUCUGUCUGAAAGUAUCGUACGAAUAAGGAUCGGCUAACUCCGUGCCAGCAGCCGCGGUAAUACGGAGGAUUCAAGCGUUAUCCGGAUUUAUUGGGUUUAAAGGGUGCGUAGGCGGUUUGAUAAGUUAGAGGUGAAAUUUCGGGGCUCAACCCUGAACGUGCCUCUAAUACUGUUGAGCUAGAGAGUAGUUGCGGUAGGCGGAAUGUAUGGUGUAGCGGUGAAAUGCUUAGAGAUCAUACAGAACACCGAUUGCGAAGGCAGCUUACCAAACUAUAUCUGACGUUGAGGCACGAAAGCGUGGGGAGCAAACAGGAUUAGAUACCCUGGUAGUCCACGCAGUAAACGAUGAUAACUCGUUGUCGGCGAUACACAGUCGGUGACUAAGCGAAAGCGAUAAGUUAUCCACCUGGGGAGUACGUUC